CUUAAAACUUUAACUGGAGGCACAAUUUAAGAUUUAUAUGCGCCUAAUAAAAACUAUUUCUAAGGUUUGUGGAACACAAUAUUUAGUUGAAUGAAUUUGAAGUGCACUAAAUAGAAAACAAUAUGCUGCACAUAUAAUUUAAAAGCUUGUCAUAAAGCAAAAAUAACAACAAAAACCUUCAGCCGGAAAAAUCUGCUAGACAAAUUUGCUCGGAAAUCAAUAUCAGCUUCACCGGCAUUACCAUAUCAGUAAUUGAUUAAACGGAGUGAAACGAAAAAUGCGAUGAAGAAUUGAAAUUAAGUGCCUGCCGAACAGCUCCAUCCUGGCAAUUGAGGUUAACUUUUCCCGAAGCUCUUAACCCUACUGUUUUUCGCUAUAAUAUGAAACAGGAACAUCUCAACAGCGGAAGUUAUUCUGUUUCUAUUGCAGGAUGCUACAGGUCAAACGUGGAACAUGCAGUCGUACAUUCUUCAGGAACUAAUGUUGAACAGAAUGCGGUUGUUGUCCACCAACAGAAGGGUCCCAUUUUUCGAGACAAUUGGUAAUUCAAACUUCAUACCAAAAGUGAAGGGACCAAUCAGAAAAUAUUUUGAAGAAAAAUGAUUUCAAUCGAAUUUAAAGAAGCAUGCUGCAGGUGUGCACCGGAGAAAAACGGUAAAGCAGCCGCUUUACGUGGACAACAUGCCUUAAUAUUAGAAAUAAAUUACUUAUUGCAUAAAUAAUGUCGGUCUGAGUUUGAAUUGAUUUUCUAAAUAUAAUGAUCCUUGCUAUCUUCUCCUAUGAGAUUUGUAUUCAAAAUUAAGUGCAGCACUAAUAAAUGAUUUGAAAUACUUCAUUAUGAAAUCUAUGCGCAGGUCUUAUCGUAUUAUAAAUGGUCUGCACAUAUAAUUUAUCAUGACUGCGUCGAUCAUUAAUUAUUAGUGUCGCACAUAUUUUACAACAGCCAAAGUAACUGGUCAAAAUAUAUGUGCGAAAAUAAUAGCAAUAAUAUGCACUUUAUUCUGAGUGUACACAAUAACCUUUACAGAUUUUUGCCA
Molecule: long non-coding RNA, 1037 nt
Organism: Armigeres subalbatus
Lineage: Eukaryota; Metazoa; Arthropoda; Insecta; Diptera; Culicidae
Exons: 3
Source: RefSeq, a predicted model, not a curated record